AUUGAACGCUGGCGGCAGGCCUAACACAUGCAAGUCGAGCGGAGCGGCGGACGGGUGAGUAAUGCCUAGGAAUCUGCCUGGUCUUGGGGGAUAACGUCCGGAAACGGGCGCUAAUACCGCAUACUAUCAGAUGAGCCUAGGUCGGUUUAGCUAGUUGGUGGGGUAAAGGCCUACCAAGGCGACGAUCCGUAACUGGUCGGAGAGGAUGAUAAGUCACACUGGAACGGAGACACGGUCCAGACUCCUACGGGAGGCAGAAGUGGGGAAUAUUGGAGAAUGGGCGAAAGCCUGAUCAAGCAAGGCCGGGUGGGUGAAGAAGGUCUUCGGAUUGUAAAGCACGUUAAGUUGGGAGGCGUUACCAACAGAAUAAGCACCGGCUAACUUCGUGCCAGCAGCCGCGGUAAUAC
RNAcentral lists this ribosomal RNA (407 nucleotides) under uncultured bacterium. RNAcentral's name for it is "partial 16S ribosomal RNA". It matches the Rfam family "Bacterial small subunit ribosomal RNA", at positions 30 to 526 of the family's 1533-position model. The record is from RNAcentral.